This 419-nucleotide ribosomal RNA is filed under the name Massilia sp. R-41598. RNAcentral's name for it is "bacterial SSU rRNA". It matches the Rfam family "Bacterial small subunit ribosomal RNA", at positions 22 to 445 of the family's 1533-position model. Lineage: Bacteria; Pseudomonadati; Pseudomonadota; Betaproteobacteria; Burkholderiales; Oxalobacteraceae. The record is from RNAcentral.
GCUCAGAUUGAACGCUGGCGGCAUGCUUUACACAUGCAAGUCGAACGGCAGCGCGGGGCAACCUGGYGGCGAGUGGCGAACGGGUGAGUAAUAUAUCGGAACGUACCCAGAAGUGGGGGAUAACGUAGCGAAAGUUACGCUAAUACCGCAUACGAUCUACGGAUGAAAGUGGGGGACCUUCGGGCCUCAUGCUUUUGGAGCGGCCGAUAUCUGAUUAGCUAGUUGGUGAGGUAAAGGCUCACCAAGGCGACGAUCAGUAGCUGGUCUGAGAGGACGACCAGCCACACUGGGACUGAGACACGGCCCAGACUCCUACGGGAGGCAGCAGUGGGGAAUUUUGGACAAUGGGCGCAAGCCUGAUCCAGCAAUGCCGCGUGAGUGAAGAAGGCCUUCGGGUUGUAAAGCUCUUUUGUCAGGGA